ACGGAAGGCAGCAGUGGGGAAUAUUGGGCAAUGGGCGAAAGCCUGACCCAGCAACGCCGCGUGAAGGAAGAAGGCCUUCGGGUUGUAAACUUCUUUUACCAGGGACGAAGGACGUGACGGUACCUGGAGAAAAAGCAACGGCUAACUACGUGCCAGCAGCCGCGGUAAUACGUAGGUUGCAAGCGUUGUCCGGAUUUACUGGGUGUAAAGGGCGUGUAGGCGGAGCUGCAAGUCAGAUGUGAAAUCCCGGGGCUCAACCCCGGAACUGCAUUUGAAACUGUAGCCCUUGAGUAUCGGAGAGGCAAGCGGAAUUCCUAGUGUAGCGGUGAAAUGCGUAGAUAUGUCACAGAACACCGAUUGCGAAGGCAGCCGGCCAAUCCGCAACUGACGCUCAUGCACGAAAGCGUGGGGAUCGAACAGGAUUAGAUACCCUGGUA
RNAcentral lists this ribosomal RNA (437 nucleotides) under uncultured Pseudoflavonifractor sp. Its description in RNAcentral is "partial 16S ribosomal RNA". It matches the Rfam family "Bacterial small subunit ribosomal RNA", at positions 341 to 792 of the family's 1533-position model. The record is from RNAcentral. Lineage: Bacteria; Bacillati; Bacillota; Clostridia; Eubacteriales; Oscillospiraceae.